UGAUACUCAAAAAGAAAUUGUCCUUGUAUGAUUCAUCAUAAAUAAAGCGAACACACCAAGGAUAAUUUCUCCUCAAGUAUGA
Non-coding RNA from Macaca mulatta (Rhesus monkey), 82 nucleotides. The record is from Rfam. NCBI's taxonomy places the organism in Eukaryota, Metazoa, Chordata, Mammalia, Primates, Cercopithecidae.